RNAcentral lists this unclassified non-coding RNA (228 nucleotides) under Hevea brasiliensis (rubber tree). Lineage: Eukaryota; Viridiplantae; Streptophyta; Magnoliopsida; Malpighiales; Euphorbiaceae. The record is from RNAcentral.
GGGAAAUCUAGAUCUCCCUCUCAUCGACCUCUCAUCCCCCGAUCGCGCAUCCGCCGCAAAAUUGAUUCGUAAGGCAUGUCUGGAUCAUGGAUUCUUCUACGUGAUCAAUCAUGGCAUCGAGGAGUCGGUUUUUCAGCAGGUGUUUAGCGAGAGCAAGAGCUUCUUCUCGCUGUCCCUUGCCGAGAAGAUGAAGCUCGAGCGUAGUAGGCAUCACAGGGGAUAUACGCC